Molecule: unclassified non-coding RNA, 402 nt
Filed under: plant metagenome
Description: partial contains 5.8S ribosomal RNA, internal transcribed spacer 2, and large subunit ribosomal RNA
Rfam family: Bacterial small subunit ribosomal RNA
Source: RNAcentral
GGAAUAUUGGACAAUGGGCGAAAGCCUGAUCCAGCAAUGCCGCGUGAGUGAUGAAGGCCUUAGGGUUGUAAAGCUCUUUUACCCGGGAUGAUAAUGACAGUACCGGGAGAAUAAGCUCCGGCUAACUCCGUGCCAGCAGCCGCGGUAAUACGGAGGGAGCUAGCGUUGUUCGGAAUUACUGGGCGUAAAGCGCACGUAGGCGGCUUUGUAAGUUAGAGGUGAAAGCCCGGAGCUCAACUCCGGAAUUGCCUUUAAGACUGCAUCGCUUGAAUCCGGGAGAGGUGAGUGGAAUUCCGAGUGUAGAGGUGAAAUUCGUAGAUAUUCGGAAGAACACCAGUGGCGAAGGCGGCUCACUGGACCGGUAUUGACGCUGAGGUGCGAAAGCGUGGGGAGCAAACAGGA